RNAcentral lists this ribosomal RNA (405 nucleotides) under uncultured bacterium. Its description in RNAcentral is "bacterial SSU rRNA". It matches the Rfam family "Bacterial small subunit ribosomal RNA", at positions 355 to 776 of the family's 1533-position model. The record is from RNAcentral.
CAAGGGAUAUUGUGCAAUGGGCGAAAGCCUGACACAGCGACACCGCGUGAGGGAUGAAGGCCCUUGGGUCGUAAACCUCUUUUCUCAGGGAAGAAAAAUGACGGUACCUGAGGAAUAAGUCUUGGCUAACUACGUGCCAGCAGCCGCGGUAAUACGUAGGAGGCAAGCGUUAUCCGGAUUUACUGGGCGUAAAGCGGGCGUAGGCGGCCCUUCAAGUCGAAUGUAAAAUCUCCCGGCUUAACUGGGAGGGAUCAUUCGAUACUGUUGGGCUAGAGGGCAGCAGAGGGAGACGGAAUUCCCGGUGUAGUGGUGAAAUACGUAGAUAUCGGGAGGAACACCAGUGGCGAAGGCGGUCUCCUGGGCUGUUACUAACGCUGAGGUCCGAAAGCGUGGGGAGCGAACAGG